CCAGACUCCUACGGGAGGCAGCAGUGGGGAAUAUUGGGCAAUGGGCGCAAGCCUGACCCAGCAACGCCGCGUGAAGGAAGAAGGCUUUCGGGUUGUAAACUUCUUUUCUCAGGGACGAAGCAAGUGACGGUACCUGAGGAAUAAGCCACGGCUAACUACGUGCCAGCAGCCGCGGUAAUACGUAGGGGGCAAGCGUUAUCCGGAUUUACUGGGUGUAAAGGGGGCGCAGACGGCGAUGCAAGCCAGGAGUGAAAGCCCGGGGCCCAACCCCGGGACUGCUCUUGGAACUGCGUGGCUGGAGUGCAGGAGGGGCAGGCGGAAUUCCUGGUGUAGCGGUGAAAUUCGUAGAUAUUAGGAGGAACACCGGUGGCGAAGGCGACUAUCUGGCACAUAACUGACGCUGAGGAGCGAAAGCGUGGGUAGCAAACAGGAUUAGAUACCCCCGUAUCU
This 450-nucleotide ribosomal RNA is filed under the name uncultured bacterium. RNAcentral describes it as "bacterial SSU rRNA". It matches the Rfam family "Bacterial small subunit ribosomal RNA", at positions 331 to 795 of the family's 1533-position model. The record is from RNAcentral.